Schistocerca nitens (vagrant locust) is the source of this 640-nucleotide long non-coding RNA. RefSeq lists it as uncharacterized. The record is from RefSeq and is a predicted model, not a curated record. The transcript has 5 exons. Lineage: Eukaryota; Metazoa; Arthropoda; Insecta; Orthoptera; Acrididae.
CGUCACAAGAUAUGCGAUUCAACAUUGAUUUUGUUUGUUAGGAAAUGCGUAUUGGUCCCAAAUUAAUAUACAUGGUUAGUUACUUAGUAACGUUUCUGGGACUUGUGUUUAUGAUAGUGAUGGUUGUGAUUAUAGUUUUGAGCCGCUUAGAAAGAAAGGAAGACUUUGAAGCCAAUGUUGCGUAAACAUAGGCGUAUUUGUGGUUGCUUUCAGUGCCGAAACGCCUCGUAAUGUUAUUAGAAAUGGCUGAAAACUGCAAGGUACUAUGUUUGGAGAAAAAAGAGCCUGACAGAUGAAUGGAAUGCUGUAUACUAUGAUGUAGCUACUGAGUAGAUACAUAAAAGCAGCCAAGAUGAAGUCAUGAAUCUACCAAAAGAGUGCAACUUUGAACUGUGACUCAUCGAUGGCUGCCAUAAGAUGGAUGUGGUGAUGGUUUUAACCAGGCAAAGAAUGUUGCUGCAACAUGAAAAAAGUAGUUUGUUUUGUUAGAACAUGUAAAGGAAAAAUGUUAAGGUAAUAUUCUGAAAACAGGAUUUUUUACAGAAUAUAAUUAUCAUUUUCAAUAUGUCCAGUUAAUCUCUUUUUAAAACCAUUGUCUCUAAUAUUAUGUAAGUUAGAAAAUAUUCUAUAUUACCUUACU